ACCUCCCACCCGUGUUUACUGUACCUUAGUUGCUUCGGCGGGCCCGCCAUUCAUGGCCGCCGGGGGCUCUCAGCCCCGGGCCCGCGCCCGCCGGAGACACCACGAACUCUGUCUGAUCUAGUGAAGUCUGAGUUGAUUGUAUCGCAAUCAGUUAAAACUUUCAACAAUGGAUCUCUUGGUUCCGGCAUCGAUGAAGAACGCAGCGAAAUGCGAUAACUAGUGUGAAUUGCAGAAUUCCGUGAAUCAUCGAGUCUUUGAACGCACAUUGCGCCCCCUGGUAUUCCGGGGGGCAUGCCUGUCCGAGCGUCAUUGCUGCCCAUCAAGCACGGCUUGUGUGUUGGGUCGUCGUCCCCUCUCCGGGGGGGACGGGCCCCAAAGGCAGCGGCGGCACCGCGUCCGAUCCUCGAGCGUAUGGGGCUUUGUCACCCGCUCUGUAGGCCCGGCCGGCGCUUGCCGAACGCAAAUCAAUCUUUUCCAGGUUGACCUCGGAUCAGGUAGGGAUACCCGCUGAACUUAAGCAUAUCAAUAAGCGGAGGAAAAGAAACCAACCGGGAUUGCCUCAGUAACGGCGAGUGAAGCGGCAAGAGCUCAAAUUUGAAAGCUGGCUCCUUCGGGGUCCGCAUUGUAAUUUGCAGAGGAUGCUUCGGGUGCGGCCCCUGUCUAAGUGCCCUGGAACGGGCCGUCAGAGAGGGUGAGAAUCCCGUCUGGGAUGGGGUGUCCGCGCCCGUGUGAAGCUCCUUCGACGAGUCGAGUUUGUUUGGGAAUGCAGCUCUAAAUGGGUGGUAAAUUUCAUCUAAAGCUAAAUACUGGCCGGAGACCGAUUAGCGCACAAGUAGAGUGAUCGAAAGAUGAAAAGCACUUUGAAAUGAGAGUUAAAAGCA
Molecule: ribosomal RNA, 881 nt
Filed under: Aspergillus flavus
Lineage: Eukaryota; Fungi; Ascomycota; Eurotiomycetes; Eurotiales; Aspergillaceae
Description: eukaryotic LSU rRNA
Rfam family: Eukaryotic large subunit ribosomal RNA (bases 481-881)
Source: RNAcentral